Molecule: ribosomal RNA, 377 nt
Filed under: uncultured bacterium
Lineage: Bacteria
Description: bacterial SSU rRNA
Rfam family: Bacterial small subunit ribosomal RNA
Source: RNAcentral
AGUGAACGCUGGCGGUAGGCCUAACACAUGCAAGUCGAACGGCAGCACAGUAAGAGCUUGCUCUUACGGGUGGCGAGUGGCGGACGGGUGAGGAAUGCAUCGGAAUCUACUCUGUCGUGGGGGAUAACGUAGGGAAACUUACGCUAAUACCGCAUACGACCUACGGGUGAAAGCAGGGGAUCUUCGGACCUUGCGCGAUUGAAUGAGCCGAUGCCCGAUUAGCUAGUUGGCGGGGUAAGAGCCCACCAAGGCGACGAUCGGUAGCUGGUCUGAGAGGAUGAUCAGCCACACUGGAACUGAGACACGGUCCAGACUCCUACGGGAGGCAGCAGUGGGGAAUAUUGGACAAUGGGCGCAAGCCUGAUCCAGCCAUACCG